UUCAAGUCUUUUCAUCUUAUUGAUAUUUAUUAUUAACUGAUAAUCAUCAAUUAAUUACUUAAUCCUGCUAGGAAAAUAUCACCAUGAAAAUCAUGAUUGAUUGUUUACUCUCAUGUGAUAAUAUCUCUGCCCUAUUCCAAUGGUCAUUCAUAGACAGAGUCAAAGUUUUCAAAGGGUCAAUCUAAAGUCAAAUAUAAUUGUAAACACAAUGUGAUUACAAAUCUUUUAUCAUUACAAUCAAAAUGUGACACUGAUUAUAUUUGAUUUACUGGUGAUGAUUAAAAACAAAUGAGAUUACAAUUUACUAAAUUGUUGAAGGUUAAAUUGAAAGUUAUCAUGUCCUUUGAUUAACCUGUUGGUGAUACAAUCUGUCCCCUGGUCAUUUGAUUGUUAUUCAAAAGUUAUAACCAAUUGAUGAUCAAGUUGACAAUUUAAAUUGUUGUUAGAUUAUUAUUACAAGUUGUUGAAAAACAAUCAACAAAACGAUUGAUUCAAUUGAUCAACUUUUCCCUGUUUACUUUUCUAAUUGUUUUAUACUUUUUUUCCGAUUCCUGAAGUAAUUUCAACUUGAUUAAUUAAAUUAAUUCUCAAUAAUUGUGCUUAAUUUUUAAAUUGUUUCGCCGCCAUUUCAACUCGAUCAUGUUAUUUUUAUUCUCAUGCUUACAUAUUAAUACUUUCCAACCAACUGAUUGUUUGAUCAUUUUUAAUCAAAUUAAAUGGACCAAAAAUACUUCCAUUGAUUUUUCAAUAGAUGACAAAAUGUCGAUUCAGUUGACUUAUCAUGAUGAUGAUAACACACCCACUCCACAUCCCCAACCUUGUCUGUCUGAACAAUAAUAAUGAACUUUUCCUCAUAAACGAAAAUGGUUACAUCAAUAAUGGUCUGAUAUUGAAUGUCUACAUAUCAAUUAUUAAUUGAUUCCAAUGUAUAUCAAUAACUUUCAUGAUGAUCACUGAUUAUGUUAUAUGAAAAAACAAACUAUUCAAUUGAAAACAAUUAGUUUUAUCCAGUAGAUUAUUGUUUUUAAUAAUAUUAUUUAUCGUGCAUCUAUUGUUGAUUUUCAUGAUUAUCCUUUU
Panonychus citri (citrus red mite) is the source of this 1077-nucleotide long non-coding RNA. RefSeq lists it as uncharacterized. The record is from RefSeq and is a predicted model, not a curated record. The transcript has 2 exons. Lineage: Eukaryota; Metazoa; Arthropoda; Arachnida; Trombidiformes; Tetranychidae.